Myotis brandtii (Brandt's bat) is the source of this 208-nucleotide long non-coding RNA. RefSeq lists it as uncharacterized. The transcript has 3 exons. The record is from RefSeq and is a predicted model, not a curated record. NCBI's taxonomy places the organism in Eukaryota, Metazoa, Chordata, Mammalia, Chiroptera, Vespertilionidae.
AUGAAAUGAGGAAUUUAACAGAAGGACAAAGUCUUAAGAGAUGAAAAGGUAUUUUCCUGAAAGGAGUAACAAGGAUGUGAACAAUGAGACUGACAGUUAAAAUCCUCAAGGGCAUUUUAAACUCCAUACCAAAGAAAUAGCAUUAUUUUCCAUGUUGCUGUUGAAUCAAUAUUCAGAGAGUUUACAGCUUGCUCACCUCUUAUAUCAU